GUUUGAUCCUGGCUCAGAGCGAACGUUAGCGGCAGGCUUAACACAUGCAAGUCGAGCGAGAAAGGGGCUUCGGCUCCGAGUAAAGCGGCGGACGGGUGCGUAACACGUGGAUAAUCUGCCUCGUGGCGGGGGACAACAGUCCGAAAGGACUGCUAAUACCGCAUGUCAGGUCGGAAACUCCGGUUUCUGACGAAAAAGAGGGCGUCCGCAAGGAGCUCUCACCACGAGAUGAGUCCGCGUCCCAUCAGCUAGUUGGCGGUGUAAUGGACCACCAAGGCUUAGACGGGUAGCUGGUCUGAGAGGAUGACCAGCCACACUGGGACUGAGACACGGCCCAGACUCCUACGGGAGGCAGCAGUGGGGAAUAUUGGACAAUGGGCGAAAGCCUGAUCCAGCCAUGCCGCGUGAGUGAUGAAGG
This 418-nucleotide ribosomal RNA is filed under the name uncultured bacterium. RNAcentral describes it as "bacterial SSU rRNA". It matches the Rfam family "Bacterial small subunit ribosomal RNA", at positions 11 to 414 of the family's 1533-position model. The record is from RNAcentral.